Molecule: transfer RNA, 72 nt
Filed under: Dendronephthya gigantea
Lineage: Eukaryota; Metazoa; Cnidaria; Anthozoa; Malacalcyonacea; Nephtheidae
Description: tRNA-Asp
Rfam family: tRNA
About the family: Transfer RNA (tRNA) molecules are approximately 80 nucleotides in length. Their secondary structure includes four short double-helical elements and three loops (D, anti-codon, and T loops). Further hydrogen bonds mediate the characteristic L-shaped molecular structure. tRNAs have two regions of fundamental functional importance: the anti-codon, which is responsible for specific mRNA codon recognition, and the 3' end, to which the tRNAs corresponding amino acid is attached (by aminoacyl-tRNA synthetases). tRNAs cope with the degeneracy of the genetic code in two manners: having more than one tRNA (with a specific anti-codon) for a particular amino acid; and 'wobble' base-pairing, i.e. permitting non-standard base-pairing at the 3rd anti-codon position.
Source: RNAcentral
UCCUCGGUAGUAUAGUGGUGAGUAUCCCCGCCUGUCACGCGAGAGAUCGGGGUUCGAUUCCUCGCCGGGGAG